AGUGAACGCUGGCGGUAGGCCUAACACAUGCAAGUCGAACGGCAGCACAGUAAGAGCUUGCUCUUACGGGUGGCGAGUGGCGGACGGGUGAGGAAUACAUCGGAAUCUACUUUUUCGUGGGGGAUAACGUAGGGAAACUUACGCUAAUACCGCAUACGACCUACGGGUGAAAGCAGGGGAUCUUCGGACCUUGCGCGAUUGAAUGAGCCGAUGUCGGAUUAGCUAGUUGGCGGGGUAAAGGCCCACCAAGGCGACGAUCCGUAGCUGGUCUGAGAGGAUGAACCGCCACACGGGAACGGGGAAAGGGUCCAAACCCCACGGGGGGGCAGAGGGGGGGAAUUUGGGAAAAGGGGCGAAAGCCUGAUCCCGCAAUACCGGGGGGGGAAAGAAGGCCUUGGGGUUUAAAAGCCCUUUUUUUGGGAAAAAAAAGCAGAAGGUUAAUCCCCCGCUGUUUGGAGGGGCCCAAAAAAAAAAGCACCGGCUAACUUCGU
This 491-nucleotide ribosomal RNA is filed under the name uncultured bacterium. RNAcentral describes it as "partial 16S ribosomal RNA". It matches the Rfam family "Bacterial small subunit ribosomal RNA", at positions 29 to 506 of the family's 1533-position model. The record is from RNAcentral.